This 571-nucleotide ribosomal RNA is filed under the name uncultured bacterium. Its description in RNAcentral is "partial 16S ribosomal RNA". It matches the Rfam family "Bacterial small subunit ribosomal RNA", at positions 338 to 858 of the family's 1533-position model. The record is from RNAcentral.
CCUACGGGAGGCAGCAGUGGGGAAUCUUGCACAAUGGAGGAAACUCUGAUGCAGCGAUGCCGCGUGAGUGAAGAAGGCCUUUGGGUUGUAAAGCUCUUUUGUAGGGGAAGAUAAUGACUGUACCCUAAGAAUAAGGUCCGGCUAACUUCGUGCCAGCAGCCGCGGUAAUACGAAGGGACCUAGCGUAGUUCGGAAUUACUGGGCGUAAAGCGCGCGUAGGCCGUUGAGUUAGUUAAUUGUGAAAUCCCAAAGCUUAACUUUGGAACUGCAAUUAAAACUGCUCGACUAGAGUUUGAUAGAGGAAAGCGGAAUACAUAGUGUAGAGGUGAAAUUCGUAGAUAUUAUGUAGAACACCAGUUGCGAAGGCGGCUUUCUGGAUCAACACUGACGCUGAGGCGCGAAAGUAUGGGUAGCAAAGAGGAUUAGAUACCCUCGUAGUCCAUACCAUAAACGAUGAUUGCUAGAUGUUGGAAAUUUAUUUUCAGUAUCGNANCUACNCAUANANAUCNCNGGNGACGACGCAGUAACUACAANANAUGNGNGNGAGAGNGCGAGACGACGACGAGGAGAG